RNAcentral lists this ribosomal RNA (196 nucleotides) under uncultured bacterium. RNAcentral describes it as "partial 16S ribosomal RNA". It matches the Rfam family "Bacterial small subunit ribosomal RNA", at positions 335 to 524 of the family's 1533-position model. The record is from RNAcentral.
ACUCUUCGGGUGGCAGCAGUGGGGAAUAUUGGACAAUGGGCGCAAGCCUGAUCCAGCAAUGCCGCGUGUGUGAAGAAGGCCUGCGGGUUGUAAAGCACUUUCAGUAGAGAAGAAAAGCCUAGGGUUAAUAACCCUGAGUCUUGACGUAACCUACAGAAGAAGCACCGGCUAACUCCGUGCCAGCAGCCGCGGUAAU